This is a non-coding RNA of Triticum aestivum (bread wheat), 74 nucleotides long. Lineage: Eukaryota; Viridiplantae; Streptophyta; Magnoliopsida; Poales; Poaceae. The record is from Rfam.
GGUCAUGUGGCUCAGUUCGUUAGAGUGUUGGUCUGAUAUACCAAAGGUCACGGGUUCAAGCCCCGUUGGGACCA